CUCCGGGAACGGGGCUAAUACCGGAUGCUUGUUUGAACCGCAUGGUUCAAACAUAAAAGGUGGCUUCGGCUACCACUUACAGAUGGACCCGCGGCGCAUUAGCUAGUUGGUGAGGUAACGGCUCACCAAGGCAACGAUGCGUAGCCGACCUGAGAGGGUGAUCGGCCACACUGGGACUGAGACACGGCCCAGACUCCUACGGGAGGCAGCAGUAGGGAAUCUUCCGCAAUGGACGAAAGUCUGACGGAGCAACGCCGCGUGAGUGAUGAAGGUUUUCGGAUCGUAAAGCUCUGUUGUUAGGGAAGAACAAGUACCGUUCGAAUAGGGCGGUACCUUGACGGUACCUAACCAGAAAGCCACGGCUAACUACGUGCCAGCAGCCGCGGUAAUACGUAAGGUGGCAAGCGUUGUCUUGAAUUAUGGGCGUAAGGGCUCGCAGGCGGUUCUUAAUCUGAUGUGAAACCCCCCGGUUCACCGGGGAGGGCAUUGGAACUGGGGAAUUGAGUGCAAAAAAGAAAUGGAAUCCACGUGUACGGUGAAUGCGUAAAAUGUGG
This 554-nucleotide ribosomal RNA is filed under the name Bacillus subtilis. RNAcentral describes it as "bacterial SSU rRNA". It matches the Rfam family "Bacterial small subunit ribosomal RNA", at positions 148 to 701 of the family's 1533-position model. The record is from RNAcentral. Lineage: Bacteria; Bacillati; Bacillota; Bacilli; Caryophanales; Bacillaceae.